RNAcentral lists this long non-coding RNA (348 nucleotides) under Rattus norvegicus (Norway rat). RNAcentral describes it as "long non-coding RNA NONRATT012679". Lineage: Eukaryota; Metazoa; Chordata; Mammalia; Rodentia; Muridae. The record is from RNAcentral.
AAAACAUUGUGCUAAGAUAAAUGUUAUAGUAAAUUAAAAAGUUCCCCAAAUAAUGUAAUGCUGGGUUAAGAGUAAGUGUACUUACUACAUUAUGCACUUACACCUGUGGCCGAGCCUUAGGUUCUGUGGGGACAAAAACUUGAAGAUGGUAGCAGGGUUUGUUUGUUUGUUUUGUUUUGUUUUGUUUGUUUUCAUUUGCAGACUGUUCUUGGCAUACUUAUUUAUGUUUGUGGUCCUUGUAACUGACUUCUGCUUUUUGUUUGUUUCCUUUUCUUUAUCUGUUUACUCCCCAUACUGUGUCUUGCUGCCAGUUUCUAUUGCCCCCCCUCCUCCCCCCAUGCCUCAGUU